This 492-nucleotide ribosomal RNA is filed under the name uncultured bacterium. Its description in RNAcentral is "partial 16S ribosomal RNA". It matches the Rfam family "Bacterial small subunit ribosomal RNA", at positions 29 to 507 of the family's 1533-position model. The record is from RNAcentral.
AGUGAACGCUGGCGGUAGGCCUAACACAUGCAAGUCGAACGGCAGCACAGUAAGAGCUUGCUCUUACGGGUGGCGAGUGGCGGACGGGUGAGGAAUACAUCGGAAUCUACUUUUUCGUGGGGGAUAACGUAGGGAAACUUACGCUAAUACCGCAUACGACCUACGGGUGAAAGCAGGGGAUCUUCGGACCUUGCGCGAUUGAAUGAGCCGAUGUCGGAUUAGCUAGUUGGCGGGGUAAAGGCCCACCAAGGCGACGAUCCGUAGCUGGUCUGAAAGGAUGAUCAGCCACACUGGAACUGAGACACGGUCCAGACUCCUACGGGAGGCAGCAGUGGGGAAUAUUGGACAAUGGGCGCAAGCCUGAUCCAGCCAUACCGCGUGGGUGAAGAAGACCUUCGGGUUGUAAAGCCCUUUUGUUGGGAAAGAAAAGCAGCAGGUUAAUACCCCGCUGUUCUGACGGUACCCAAAGAAUAAGCACCGGCUAACUUCGUG